UCUCCAGAAGAUGCUCUGGUGAACAUAUGGCCCCUCUCACCCCCACUAAAUUACUCAAUGAACACCCAGCUAUUUACAUACACUUGGAAAGAGAAAUUCCUCCUUGAAUUCACAGAGCUUGAGCUAGAACUAAGGGCACAGUAAUACAUGUAAAUAUGAUGAAAGUGCGGUUUGGUAAGUAUAUUCUUAACUAUGACAUUUUAUAAUUAAAUAUCUGUAACUACUGUAUUUUAUCUAAUCCUGAACAAUAUGGCCUUAUUGAUUCUAGAAAUAUUUGAUGCUGCAGGAACAGUAGAAAUGUCCAGGGAUGUGUUUCAAAUCAAGAAUGGAACCUCUGCUUGUUGUCAAUAGUUUUUCAGAUAAACUACUUCAACUUUGAUGACACUUUUGCACACUGAAAGCCCACUUGCCUGCAGAGCAGCAGUUGGACCUCACAGUGUGGAUUGUGCCUUCACUGGGAAGGUUCUGUGACGCCCAUCACCGUGGUGACGUGAGAGUAUAUAUCUCGGCCCCUCCUGCUGCCACUUGCCAUUCAACAUGGGAAACCUGAAGAGCCGAUUCAAAGCAAAGCAAUGUUUCUCCCGCUCCUGCUGCCCUUCAGUCGUCCCACGUCUCCCACCCAUCCCUCUC
Long non-coding RNA from Nycticebus coucang (slow loris), 630 nucleotides. RefSeq lists it as uncharacterized. NCBI's taxonomy places the organism in Eukaryota, Metazoa, Chordata, Mammalia, Primates, Lorisidae. The record is from RefSeq and is a predicted model, not a curated record. The transcript is spliced from 3 exons.